AGCGAACGCUGGCGGCAUGCUUAACACAUGCAAGUCGCACGGGGUGCUUUCGGGCACUUAGUGGCGGACGGGUGAGUAUCGCGUAGGGAUUUGUCGUUGGGUGGGGAUAACCUUGGGAAACUGGGGCUAAUACCGCAUGACGCCUUUGGGCCAAAGCUCGUGAGGGUGCCUGAUGAGGAGCCUGCGUCCGAUUAGGUAGUUGGUUGGGUUAUGGCUGGACCAAGCCUGCGAUCGGUAGCUGGUCUGAGAGGAUGAUCAGCCACACUGGGACUGAGACACGGCCCAGA
Molecule: ribosomal RNA, 287 nt
Filed under: uncultured bacterium
Lineage: Bacteria
Description: partial 16S ribosomal RNA
Rfam family: Bacterial small subunit ribosomal RNA
Source: RNAcentral